UAGCCGAAGUCAAGUCAACUGGCUUCAGUACUUCAGAGAAUCUUUUUCAGAAAAUAACUUAGUAUACAGUUACCGAAUAUUUGUGACUAUUUUCGGACAUUUGUCACUCUAUGUGAUGAUACAUACUGGUUGAACAUACAUCGCCCUUAUA
Drosophila hydei is the source of this 151-nucleotide long non-coding RNA. RefSeq lists it as uncharacterized. The record is from RefSeq and is a predicted model, not a curated record. NCBI's taxonomy places the organism in Eukaryota, Metazoa, Arthropoda, Insecta, Diptera, Drosophilidae. The transcript is spliced from 2 exons.